RNAcentral lists this unclassified non-coding RNA (208 nucleotides) under soil metagenome. RNAcentral's name for it is "partial contains 5.8S ribosomal RNA, internal transcribed spacer 2, and large subunit ribosomal RNA". The record is from RNAcentral.
AACCAUAGAAACCUGCGGAGUACCUGCGGAAGGAUCAUUACCGAGUUUACAACUCCCAAACCCCUGUGAACAUACCUAUACGUUGCCUCGGCGGAUCAGCCCGCGCCCCGUAAAAAGGGACGGCCCGCCCGAGGACCCCUAAACUCUGUUUUUAGUGGAACUUCUGAGUAAAACAAACAAAUAAAUCAAAACUUUUAACAAUGGAUCU